RNAcentral lists this ribosomal RNA (433 nucleotides) under uncultured bacterium. RNAcentral's name for it is "partial 16S ribosomal RNA". It matches the Rfam family "Bacterial small subunit ribosomal RNA", at positions 29 to 507 of the family's 1533-position model. The record is from RNAcentral.
AGCGAACGCUGGCGGCAGGCUUAACACAUGCAAGUCGAACGCAUCCUUCGGGGUGAGUGGCAGACGGGUGAGUAACACGUGGGAACGUACCCUUCGAUCUGGGAUAACUUCGGGAAACUGGAGCUAAUACCGGAUCCGCCCUUUUGGGGAAGGGUUUACUGUCGAAGGAUCGGCCCGCGUCUGAUUAGCUAGUUGGUGGGGUAACGGCCUACCAAGGCGACGAUCAGUAGCUGGUCUGAGAGGAUGAUCAGCCACACUGGGACUGAGACACGGCCCAGACUCCUACGGGAGGCAGCAGUGGGGAAUAUUGGACAAUGGGCGCAAGCCUGAUCCAGCCAUGCCGCGUGAGUGAUGAAGGCCUUAGGGUUGUAAAGCUCUUUUGUCCGGGACGAUAAUGACGGUACCGGAAGAAUAAGCCCCGGCUAACUUCGUG